CUGAUGAGGAUGAAGCAAAAAAUAAUUAAUCCAACACUUGAUCUGAGGAUUUCAUUUCUAGUGAUGUUCAAAAGUUUGCUACUGAAUCUGG
This is a small nucleolar RNA of Cornus florida, 91 nucleotides long. RefSeq annotates it as small nucleolar RNA snoR31. The record is from RefSeq and is a predicted model, not a curated record. NCBI's taxonomy places the organism in Eukaryota, Viridiplantae, Streptophyta, Magnoliopsida, Cornales, Cornaceae. The transcript has a single exon.